Molecule: non-coding RNA, 309 nt
Organism: Vicia faba (fava bean)
Lineage: Eukaryota; Viridiplantae; Streptophyta; Magnoliopsida; Fabales; Fabaceae
Source: the annotation of a GenBank genome assembly
AAGACACGGUCUUUUCGGGGCUUUAAGGAUCCCGUAGCGUUCGGAGGGGACAAAAUCUGCCCUACGGGGAGGAUGCUCGAGCAAGACUCGAGCUGGAGUGCCCUUGGUCGGGGACGCUACUCGUUACGGGUAACGGCGGGCAUUGCCACUAGGGUCUGUGGUCGGGCACGUUUGGGAUGGUCUGAUUAUGAGCACUCCCCGAGGAGCUGCCUGGAUCUGGGCCUUUAUUUGCACUUUGGGCCAAGGCGGGCCCAGUCCAGAACAAGAGCCCCCCAAGUCGUUGUUCCUGGGACAGGAGUUAUGACUUGA